UUUUUUUUAAUCGCAUAAUAGGGUACAGKGGUCUUACUAAAAGUAUCUUCUUGGAAAARARRAUUGAGGACUUGGAUAGUUACCCUAUUUUUGCACAUUUUCGGGAACAUUUAUCUUAUACUUUUUUUUUUAUUAACCCCUUAUUAUUAUUAUUUAUAUUAUACUGAUUCAUACAACGCGUAGCGGUGGAUGUCUCGGCUCCCACAUCGAUGAAGAACGCAGCAAACUGCGAAACGUAAUGCGAAUUGUAGUACUCGUGAAUCAUCGAAUUUUUGAACGCAUGUUGCGCUCGUGGGUAAUCCUACGAGCAUACCUGUUUGAGUGUCCGUUUAUGCUAUUAUUAAACGCAAGUUAAUUUUGGGGUUCCAGUGGGAAUUCGCGACCUUGAUCUCUUGGGAUUUAUUCUAGGAUCGAACAGGAAGUGUUUUCUCACGCCGGAAUGCCAGCUGUUGGGUGUUUGUCCUCGCGGAUGUCAGUCGUCGUCAAAGUUAGAAACCUACUUGUAGUGCUUCUUUCAUUGCUCGGUGCAAUCUGUGUGGUCACCUGAAAUUUUUAGCCUCGUUUCUUUGUCAUAAGUAUAUUCUUAAUUAUAAACGUUAAAGACCCCCUCGGUCGAUGCGAUCUAGUACCCUUUGUUGGAAAAGAUUGAGUCCUUCUUUGAGGUUGAUUCUCUUUUCUAACGCCUAAUGGGUAUUGUUUUCUGCGUCCUGGGGAUUGUAUGGGUUUUUUGUGCGGGGAAUAGAACGAUAGAGCGACGUUUAGGACGACGGAUUUCUUUCUUCGGAAAGGGAAAAAACCGGCC
Molecule: small RNA, 802 nt
Filed under: Rhodomela confervoides
Lineage: Eukaryota; Rhodophyta; Florideophyceae; Ceramiales; Rhodomelaceae
Description: eukaryotic LSU rRNA
Rfam family: 5.8S ribosomal RNA (bases 175-327)
Source: RNAcentral